AAAAAUAGUUUAGAAAUCUUUUCUUUUACUUUCAGUAUCCUCUCUGUAAACAACCUUUCCUUGUAAAAAUCUUUCCUUUAAUAAAAAAUAGAUCUUCCGCACUUUAAAUAGUCUGUAAUUGGUAUCAGAGGCCCCCGGAGUUACGGUUCUUGGAGGAAUUCAUAUCAUAAUACUCAUUUGUAAGUUCUUAUCUUUAAUUUACAAUCCAGUUAAUUUCGUGGUUGUUUAUCUUGAAACCCAUAUAUCUGUUAUUUUGUCUAACUUUUCCCUUUUUCAGUCUAGGUGAGAGACAAUAGGCCUUUGUGUGUUAAGACAAAAUAAUAUAACAGACGGUUUUAGGUACCAAAGAUAAGUAACAUGGAAGAGACAGAUUGUUUAUAUAAAGAUAAAACCUGCAAUCAUAUUAUGCAUAUAGAUUCUAAACAAGAAAAUAAUAUUUCGGCCCUUAGUAAAGGAUUUAAUAGUUUAAUAGAUAUAACAUCUAUAUAUUAUAAUAAAAUAUAUAAUAAAGUCAAUAAUAUAGAAGAAAAAGUAAAUUACAUGGGAAAUAUUAAAGAAUUAGAUUUGAACAACAAAUCUAAAGAAAUUUUAUCAGAAGUUAAUAAUAAAUUAGAUCAGGUUAUUAAUAAUAAUAAUACGGAAUCAGAUAUAGAUUUAGGUCCCCUAUAUUAUGGUAAUAGUAAUAUAAUUUUAACUUUAUCAGAUGAAGAAGAAGAAACUUCUUCAGAAGAGUCAUAUUCUACUAUUAAUAGAAAUAAAAAAUCUGAAAAACAGAGAAGAAAAAAUAUUACUCAACAAAAAUAUGAUUUCCAAUCUUAUAAAGAAUUAAUAGAACAUUGGAAAGUCAAAUUUACUAAAAGUACUGAUAAAAACGAAAGAAUAGAAUACUUAAAAUUAAUAGAAGAACUUUAUGAAAAACAUAAAGAUCUAUUUACUCAGUUUAAUUAUCACUAUAUGUUAAGUUAUGAUACUACAGAAAGUAGUAGUUCUAGUAAUUCUGAUAAUCAAGAAGAUUUAAAUGUAACUAGUUAUAAAUCUGAUGAAGAAAACACUUCAACAGAUGAGGAUGAAAAUAUAGAAGUCCCCGAACCUAUGGAUACUGAUCAAACAGAUCCUUAUGGUAAAAGAAAAUUAGAAUCAGAUAUUCAAAAAGAUGAUUAUCUGAGAGCUUUAAAUAAAGACUUUGAAACAGUUGAAAAUACAACAAGAAUUUUUGGUAAUCAAACUGAAAAUAUAGCUACUAAUGAAGUUAAAACUGAAUAUACAGGCGAAUCUUCUAAUCAACAACCAAGUCAAACUAUACCUAUACCACAUAGGAUAGAUGAUUUAAAUAAAAGAAAUGUGGCUCAAGGUGGAAUAUAUUUAGAUUUGACUAAUAUUUCAAUAUCAGACUAUGAAAAAACCAUUGAUGAUUGGGCACAGUCAAUGACAAUAGUUGUAAAUAACAACGGUUCUUGGUCAAAAGAAAAAUUUUUAAAUUAUUUUGUAGGAACUUUUCAAGGAGACGUUUUACAAUUUUUAAGACGUUGGGAAGAAUCAGAAGUAGGAAAAGUCCAAAAAGGACAACUAAUUAAUCAAAUAGGUACUCCUAAAGAUCUUUUAAAAGGAUUAACAAAUAUUCUAAAAACAGAAUUUUGUGGUUAUUUUGAUAAAAAAGAUCAAUAUAGUAUAGCUAGUUAUACCUUAUCAAAAAUUAAAUUAUGUGAUAUUAGAUAUCUAGAAGAAUUUUCUAAAAAAUUUCUUCAUGAAUAUCAAAAAUUAAAAAAUGAAAAUAUAGAAUUUUGGAAAAACCAAUAUUUUCAUAAACUACCCCCACCAUGGGAUGAGAUAUGUAUAAAAAAAUAUGUGUCUUAUUUAGAUAAACAUAGUAAAGAAUCAGGGAUAGCAAAAGAAAAUAUAGAUUCUAUAGGAAAUAGAAUUAAUUUUGCAAGAGAAAGAAUAACUCUACAUUGUCUACAAACUAAAGCGGCUAAACAAGUAAAAAAUAAAUUAACUUAUAGUCAUUGUACAAAAAUUCUAGAAAAUGAAUGGGAAUUUAGAUGUAAAACAACACGUCCUAAUACAUAUAAAAAACAUAGAAAGAAAAAUAGAAAAUAUAAAUUUAUUAGAUGGAAACCAGGAAAUAAAAAAUAUACUGGUAAUAAUAAGAAAAAGAAAAAAUUUGUUAGAAGAAAAACUUCUAAAAAAUCUAAAAAACAGAUAUGUAAAUGUUUUAUUUGUGAUGAAGAAGGCCAUAUAGCACCAAACUGUCCUAAUAAAGGAAAAAGUGCUAAAAAGAUGAUUAAAAGUCUUGAAGAACAAGAUUUAGAAAUUUGUUAUGAAGAGGAAAUAAAUCCUGAAGAAAUAUUAUAUGAGUUAAUAUCAGAAACGGAUUCUGAUUUAGAUGAAGAAGAAUAUAUAUUUAUGUUUAAUAUAGGAAGUAGUUCUAAAAAUCAAUUAGAAGAAAUUCCUAAGUCUGAACAACAAGACAUAAAAUUAGGAUAUUUGAUUGGAGAAGAAAAAGACUUUUCUGAUGAAAUGAUAGAAAAAAUAAAUAAAAAUCACAUUUCUAAAGAAGAAAUAUAUAAAAUAUCUAAGUUUAAAAUAUGGAGUCAAAGACAUAUAGAAAAAAUUAGUGGCAACACUGUCGUUAAGGAUACUAGAGGAGGAUUAACAGAAAUUCCAUUAUUUACUAAAGAAAAAAUUAAGAGGAUUAAAAAGAAAUACCCUCAAGUUAGAUAUAUACAUUUAGGUAUAAUUAUGAUAACAAUUAGAGCUUUAUUUAGAAAAGGACAUGAUAUACCCAUAAUAGCGGUUUUAUUAGAUAAAAGAUUUGAAAACCCGAUAAAAGCACUUAUUGGUGGUAUUCAGUCUAAUUUACACACUAGAGUAAUAGGAUUUAAAGUUAAACCAAACUAUUUUAUAUCUAUUACAGAUCCCCUAAUAGAAGAAUGCUUAUGUUUAAGAAUUCAGACAAAAAAUUCUGAAAUUAGCGAUUUAGCAGAAGAUUUAGCAAUAAGUUGGACUUCUAUUAAUAAAUAUACCAACACGGCAGAAGUAGAAAUUAAAGAAAUCAAUAAUAAAAUAAUUGAGUUAUUUGAACCCAAUAAAUUUACUACAGAAAUACAACCAAAAUUAUUACAUUUAAAAGAUCUGUCAAUUCCAAAAGAUUGGAUGAUUGAUAGAAUAAGUGGUGCUAGUACUUCAAAACCCGUAAGUACUAUAGAAUAUAUGUCAUCAGGAGAUAGACUAUAUUUUAAAAAUAAUGCUAUAACAAAUACAAAUGAUAAUUUAGUUUUACCUUCUAAUUCUCAAAUAGAAGAAGAAUAUAAUAUUAGUACAAAUUCAACAACACCGAUAGGUAUGAAAACAGUUCAAAUACCUAUUUUCCCUACUGAACCUAGCAGAAAUUCUAGAAAUACUAGAAUGGAAGAAAUACAAUCUACUACUAUUAUUCAACAAAUGAAAAUAGGAAAAAAUGAUAUUAUUACAUUUUCAAAUUUCCAACCUAGGAAAUAUUAUACAUAUAUAGAAAUUACACUUCAAUUUAGAGACUAUAAAACAUAUUCUUUGCAUGCUUUAUUAGAUACUGGAGCUACCACAAGUAAUUCUAGAGAAAAUGCCAUUCUUGUAGAAAAAUGGGAAUUAAUGAAAAAUCCAAUUAGAGAUAUAGGAAUUGAUGGUAAAGAAACCAUAAUUCAAUUUAAGGCUAGAAAUAUACCAAUUUACAUAAAUAAUGUAAGAUUUGUAAUUCCUAAAAUAUUGUGUUUUCCUGAAAUGCAUGGAGACAUAUUAUUAGGAAAUAAUUUUAUAUAUCAUCAUCUACCGUUUUCUAUAGAUAGAAAUUUAGUAAUAUUAUCAACAGAAAAAACUUCUGUAGAAAUACCUUUAAUAGAAAACCAUAAAUUUGUUUGUGAUAAAGGAUUUAGACCAAUAAGAAAAGAACAAAUUAAACAACUAGAAACAAAUCAUUGGUUGUUUAAAAUUCUAGAAAAUAAUUUUAGUGAAGAACCAUUAAAAUUAUGGGAAAAUAGUCCAAGAUAUUGUGAAAUAAAAUUAAAGAAUCCUAAUAAAAUAAUUAGAAUCAAACCUAUGAUCUAUACUAAACAAGAUAUAGAUGAAUUUGAUAUACAAAUCAAAGAAUUAUUGGAAAAAGGAUUAAUAGAAAAAACUAAUAGUCCACACUCAAGUCCAGCUUUUAUGGUAAGAAACCAUGCUGAAAUAAAAAGAGGAAAAGCUAGAAUGGUUAUUAAUUAUAAAAGACUAAACCAAAAUACUAUUUUUGAUGGAUACUUUAUUCCACGGAAAGAUGUUUUAAUAAAUCAAGCUAAACAAGCAAAAUAUUUCAGUAAAUUUGAUUGUAAAUCAGGAUUUUGGCAAAUAAUGCUAACUGAUGAAUCUAAACUAUUAACAAUGAAAAACCAAAUACUUGUUUAAAAAUAAUAUCUUGACAUAUAAAAUUGCAGAUAAUUUUAUUGAUUUUUUCAAAAAUUUCUGCUGGUAGUAUUUUCCUAGCUUUAUUAUAUAAACAUAUUCUAAACAUUUUAUUCAUAAUGGGACUAUUUGUUCCUUUAUGAAUAAAGUAUUGAAAUAUAUCAAUAAGAUUAUUUAUCUCAUUGAUAUUUGUAUACUCUAUUUCGAGUUCUUGCCAAUCUCUGUAUAAAACAGCUUUUAAUAAUAAUUCAUGUGCUUCAUUUUCUUUAGUUGUUUUUUCAACUAGAAAUUGUGAAAACUUUGUAAGAGCUCGUCUAAAAUUUGCUCUUUGUUCUAAAAUAUGGGUUUUCCAUAUUUCAUUAAUAUAUUUAUAAAUUUCAUUUGGUAAUCCUGGAUUAUAAAAAUAUUUUAUUUCUGGAAUUUGUUGUUGUUUCAACAAAUUUUCUGCUCCUUUUAUAACUUCAGAAUAACUGGCUUGAUAUGCUGAAUUCGGAUCUUGAGACCAAGGAGAUUGAAUUAUUCUUUUUGAAGGGUAUUCGUUUACCAUUCUUUAUGCAUAUGAUGAAGGAGAUCUAGUUGGUUGUCUUACCAUUGGAUAAGGAACAUAAUAUCCUUGAUCAGGAUAGAAUCCUGUUAAUAUAGGAGUAAAUCCCUGAUUGGGAGUAAAUCCUUGAUUAGGAUUUAUCUGCUUUCCUUUGUUGGGUUUUUUAUGGACAGUAGCCCAUUCCCCGACUUGUUCUAGAGGUUUUUUACCUCUAUCCAUAAGGCCUGCUAAGAUAAUCAGCAAUAAUAUUAUUAGUACCUUUGACAUAUAAAACUUCAAAAUUGAAACUACAUAAAUCAUUAUACCAUCUAAUUCUUCUUGGUACACUUUCUAGACUAUUAUUAGUCAGAAAUUGUUUGAUUGCCUGGUUGUCAGUUUUUAUAAUAAAAUUUUCAGAUGCUAAAUAUAUGAGAAAGGUUUUUAUUGCCUUUUUAGUAGCUAAUAAUUCUUUUUCAUAUAUAGCAUAAUUAACUUCAUUUGAUUUAAAUUUUCCAGAACUAUAUCCACAUAUUAGUUCUUCGUUUUUUGCUGUUUUAGCUUUUAAAAUACAUCCCCAAUAUUUUUCUGAUGCAUCGGUUUCUAAAAUUAAUCUAUCACCUUGUUUUGGUAAAUAGACUUUUGGGGUAUAAUUUAUUUCUGAUUUUAUAUUUUUAAUAAUUUCUGAGUCUUCUUUAGACCAGCUAAAAGUUUUAUCCUUUUUUAAUUUUUCAUAUAAGUCUCCUAUUUUUUCAGAUAAGUUAGGAAAGAAGUUUCUUCCAUAAUUAAUUAUACCUAAAAAUUGUUGAAGUUGUUUUUGGUUUUUAAUUUCUUCUGAAAAUUCUUUUAUUUUUACUAUAAUAUGAUCUUGUAGUUUAAGACCAUCAGCUGAUAAAUUUAAACCUAAAAAUUCUAUUUCUGUUUUUUCUAAUUUUAUUUUCUUAGGGCUCAAAAUAAUUCCAUGUUUUAUGAAUUCUUGGGAGAUAAUAUUUAAAUGUUUUCUAUGCUUUUCCAGUGUUUCUGAAAAUAUUAAUAUAUCGUCUAUAUAAACUACACAAAAUUUUUUAUAUUUAUUAAAUAUAGAAUCCAUCCAUCUUUGGAAGAUUUGAGGUGCAUUACAUAAUCCAAAUGGCAUUACUCUCCAUUGAUAAUGACCAUUAGGUGCACUAAAGGCUGUUAAUGGUUUAGAUUCAUCAGUUAGCAUUAUUUGCCAAAAUCCUAAUUUACAAUCAAAUUUACUGAAAUAUUUUGCUUGUUUAGCUUGAUUUAUUAAAACAUCUUUCCGUGGAAUAAAGUAUCCAUCAAAAAUAGUAUUUUGGUUUAGUCUUUUAUAAUUAUAUUUAGCAUCUGAAAAUUUUAUUAUAAAAACUGACAACCAGGCAGUCAAACAAUUUCUGACUAAUAAUAGUCUAGAAAGUGUACCAAGAAGAAUUAGAUGGUAUAAUGAUUUAUAUAGUUUCAAUUUUGAAGUUUUAUAUGUCAAAGGUACUAAUAAUAUUAUUGCUGAUUAUCUUAGCAGGCCUUAUGGAUAGAGGUAAAAAACCUCUAGAACAAGUUGGGGAAUGGACUACUGUCCAUA
RNAcentral lists this long non-coding RNA (6512 nucleotides) under Gossypium barbadense (sea-island cotton). RNAcentral's name for it is "long non-coding RNA (GBAR_LNC007351)". Lineage: Eukaryota; Viridiplantae; Streptophyta; Magnoliopsida; Malvales; Malvaceae. The record is from RNAcentral.